Long non-coding RNA from Eptesicus fuscus (big brown bat), 163 nucleotides. RefSeq lists it as uncharacterized. The record is from RefSeq and is a predicted model, not a curated record. Lineage: Eukaryota; Metazoa; Chordata; Mammalia; Chiroptera; Vespertilionidae. The transcript is spliced from 3 exons.
UCAGAGACAGCUUUACCUGAAUGUGAUGCUGGAGAACUUUGAACUUCUGUCCUUGCUGGGUUGCUGCUGUGGAGAAGAGAAUGUGGAGACCCCGACUGAACAGAAGGUUUCAGUAAGAGUGUCACGGGCAAGGAAUCCCAAGCGAGGUCACACUAGAGAAAAG